This 253-nucleotide ribosomal RNA is filed under the name uncultured bacterium. RNAcentral's name for it is "partial 16S ribosomal RNA". It matches the Rfam family "Bacterial small subunit ribosomal RNA", at positions 524 to 776 of the family's 1533-position model. The record is from RNAcentral.
UACGUAUGGUGCAAGCGUUAUCCGGAUUUACUGGGUGUAAAGGGAGCGCAGGCGGCACGGCAAGCCUGAUGUGAAAGCCCGCGGCCCAACCGCGGGACUGCAUUGGGAACUACCGGGCUGGAGUGCCGGAGAGGUAGGCGGAAUUCCUAGUGUAGCGGUGAAAUGCGUAGAUAUUAGGAGGAACACCAGUGGCGAAGGCGGUCUACUGGACGGUGACUGACGCUGAGGCUCGAAAGCGUGGGGAGCAAACAGG